Molecule: long non-coding RNA, 783 nt
Filed under: Rattus norvegicus (Norway rat)
Lineage: Eukaryota; Metazoa; Chordata; Mammalia; Rodentia; Muridae
Description: long non-coding RNA NONRATT013348
Source: RNAcentral
UUAUAGAAAAUAAAAAUAUUUUUAUUUCUUUGUUCGCUCCUUUUUCCCUCUCCAGUCGGUGGUCUCCGCUCUCCUCGGAGACGUGAGGCGGGCGAGGCGGGAGGCCUUAGAGGGGCCCGGAGUCCUGCUUUGCCCUCGUGGGCGGCCCCCGGCUGUGUCUGCUGCUGGCGCGCGUGCUGUGGCUGUCCAGGGAGUAGUAAGUCCUGCUGUCCGCCGCCGGGCAGAGCGGCGGCGAGUCCGAGCGCAGCGCGUCGUGCGCCGCUCGCAGGAUCGAGGAAAGGCGUGCUCUCGGCCGCCAGCGCCCCGUCCGGGUCGUCCGCAUCGUCGUCCGAGGCCGACGCCGAGCCGGAGCCGCGAACCGCUGCUCAACGACAGCGAGUCCCGCGCUGCGCGUGCGCGCUGCGCAGCCAACCCGUUGAGGCGGGAGCGCCGCCAGCGCCGCGGCCCCGCCGACGUCCUGCGGGACGCGCCGCGCGUGCGCGGCCGCGGCGGUGGCGGGGGCGCGCACUCCUGCGUGGUCUCGUACUCGUCGUCCUCCGGGAUGCGGAAGGGGCUGGCGGGCAGGCUGCCCAAACUGCCUCCCAGCGCGCAGGCGCCGCGCCGCGGCCCGGGCCCCGCCGCCGGGUAGUAGUAGCUGUCGUAGCUGCGCUGCAUGUCCGCUCCGGGCCCUGGCCCCGGGCCGGGCGGCGCUGGGUGCCGCAGGAGCGGCUGCUGCUCCGCUAGGCGGUAGCUGAUGGGCGCUGCGGGUGGCAGCGACACGGCGUGGGCAGAGUUGGGCGACGU